RNAcentral lists this long non-coding RNA (1540 nucleotides) under Mus musculus (house mouse). Its description in RNAcentral is "RIKEN cDNA 6530403H02 gene". The record is from RNAcentral. Lineage: Eukaryota; Metazoa; Chordata; Mammalia; Rodentia; Muridae.
GAGAGCUCCUUCCUCCUCCUCUGUUCUUUUAAGCUCCUGCUGCGGUGGCAGACAUGGGAGAGACACGCAAGCUGCAAAGGGAAGCAGAGUCAAAUUAAAGCCUCCCAACCACGGCUCGUGGUGCUGCGGAUGGGGCGUCCCUCCCUCCCUCCCUCGGCUUGAUGAAGGUGGGUGUGAGAUCCCACAGGACUGUCUGGAAGAGAGCCCGUGGAAGUCACUGUAUUUUGCAGAAGCUGGAGGCGAAGCAGAAGGCAAGUUACAAUUCGUCUGUUGCAAGGCCCGGGUUGGGUGACAGAGGGGGGUGGUGGUGGGUGAGCUGAGAGUUUAGGAGAAGUCUUCAGGGGUUUUGACUGUGUAGGGAAAAGGGCGUGGUACCUAGAAGUGACCCAGAGUCCACAGAAACAACUUACCAGCAUGUGGAGCGGAGUGCCUUAUAGGGAUACCACCACUCUGGCUAUGUGUUCUGGCAGGUGGGAGACUGGGAACAGGCUCUGUGCCUGAGCUGCUGCUGGACCGGCUUCUUCUCUUCUUUACACUACUAGGGUUGUUUGGAGUCCCUUCUGCUUCGCAGGGAGCUGCAUCCCAGCGGCCUUUCCCAUCCUACAGUCUGUAUAUCUAGGCUAGGGGCUACUUCCUGCUUUUCAAACUUGCAAGUUUCCUUUGAGCGUGAACAGGGGCUUUUCAAGACAGGCUAGUGGGGUCUGUGCAUUCAAAACAUAUGGUACGCCUUGCUAAUUUUUGAGUGUACAUCGUGAAACCGAUGCCUUGAGAUUAGUGAGUGCUUACCAGAUAUGUUGUAUGGGGAUUCACUUUUUAAGCUUUGUUAAGUUUUUAUUAGCACCACGCACAAAUCACCUGUUUACAUUUUCCUCUGACUGUUGGAUAUAGGUGAGGGGAAUGUCUCCUUUUUUAUUCAUUACAAAAAUCACACCGAAGAUAUAAAAGCUUUCUUCUGGUCUUUCAGACUAGAUGUAGCUUCUGGCUCUGACCUGAUGUUACUCCUUCCUUAGUUGUUGUAAUGUUCGUUCCGUCCAGAGAAUCUUCACCACAUAUGUCAGAGCAAGAUAAAGGUCACCAAGGAAUAGCAUUCACACUGGCCAGUUCCCAGGGUGACCUUUCUCUUCUCUGGGAGAUGUUUAUCAUCGCUCUGAGCUAUGGGGUAGAAUUGGCAUGUCCUUCUGUCCCCUCUCCUCAGAGUCCUGCACAACCUCAGAGCGUGUCUCUACUGCAGGUGGCCUGGGCUUCUACUUGAUUUGACUAGACAGUGAGGAGCUCUCAGCCAUUCUCCCCUCCCUCUCCCUAUUAGAACUGUUUCUGCGCUCAUGAAGAUGUGAUAAUUAAAUACAUCCUUGAAGGAGACAGAAAACAGCAACACCUUGCGUCUUGACUUCUUCCAGGGAGUGCAAACCCUUAGACCACCAGGAUGUCUUGUUCAAUGAGUUAUUUUUUUUCAAAAUGUAGCCCGAAUAGCAUCCUUUAUAAUUAAGACUCCUGGCUUUCAGUUUAAAGUGAUAUUUGCCAGUAAAAGCCUGCCAAAAAA